Poeciliopsis prolifica (blackstripe livebearer) is the source of this 1195-nucleotide long non-coding RNA. RefSeq lists it as uncharacterized. The transcript is spliced from 4 exons. Lineage: Eukaryota; Metazoa; Chordata; Actinopteri; Cyprinodontiformes; Poeciliidae. The record is from RefSeq and is a predicted model, not a curated record.
CGUAGGUGAGGUCCGUGUCGCUGUCGUCCUCCCCGGCCGCGUCUCGAUUUUGAGCCGAUUCCUCAGCCGUCGCGCCGGGAUGAGGCUGCACCCAGUCCUCUGCCUGGAGCUCUGGGAGGAGACGGGAGGUUAGUGGUGGGGCGUCGGACAUAUUGACAUUUUAGCGUAGAAAAGAAAGUGGGACAUGGCUUUUCAAACUAAAAAGAAAAAGUCUUGAGCUUCUAUGAAACAAAUCUGAUAAGUGUGUCAUUCCUGUCGUUAGGAGGGCAAUUUUGAGAACCUCAGCAGUUGAAAUGUUUUCACCCUCUCCAGAGCCUGCUGUGUUCAGCUCUGCAUCCAUUUGCAGAUGAACUAGAGAUCAGUUAAACCAUUAAGUGAUUUUGAACAUCAAAGUGAACGUGACUCUCUACCUUCACAUUUUAGGUUUUUACUUCAGAAUUCCCUGCUGAAGGAGGCAGCAUGAUACUGCCACUGCCAUGCUUCAGGAAGGGGAUGCAUGCCACACACUUUGGACAAAAAAGUGUUGAUCUAUCUCAUCGAAGGUCAUGAAGAGAAAGCAGUACGCCUGUGCCUCAGGAGCCCUGCUCAGACCGAGACCCAAGUUGUGGUCCCUAACAACCGGCGAAGACGCCGCGGCCCUUCUUGGCGUCGCAGUGCGGGCCCGCCGGCUCCUUUUUGUGCGAGUCUGUAGGGAGGAAUGGUAAUCAGGCAACAGGAAGUUCUACGCACAUACUUCCUCUGGGAUGACAACAGACAGACUGGCUUUACGUUGGGGGUUGUACUGAGGACAAACAGAUCAAAGGUCAGCUCCAGGUUGGUGAAGAAGUGGUCGGCGAACUCCGGGUACAUGUCGAGCACCUCCAGGAUCUCCUCCCUCUGGAUCGUGUGCAGGUCGCAGUAGCUGAGUGCGCGGACAUCGGCGCACGACUUCCCCGGCUUGGCGAACAGGUGGAUCAUCUCGCCGAAGAUGUCGUUUUUACCUGAAGAGCACGUAGGAGGACGACAGACGUGUUACUCAAAGAUAAGAAAACACAAGUCGGGACUCACUUAUUCAUCGGAGGAGUGAUGUGGUUCACGUUUUUCACAGAAACAGCCGUAUCUGUAACCGAUGGUAGAGGUGCAGAAACCUCUGUAAAUUAAAAAAAUACAUUCCGCUGACUCGUUUGAAAGAUUAAAAUAUCUUUUUAAAAUCACA